CUUUUUUUUUUUUUUUUUGGGUCUGCUUAAGUUGUAAUUUAUGCAGUAAUGAAUGGUCGAAUGUAUACGAUGCAAGUUACUGAACUAUAGAAACUGUGAUAUGGGUUAUAAAGAAGGAUAGUGAAAUCACUUGAUAGAUAAUCAAGUUGAGAGUGUGAAAUUCUGAUCUGUAGGCUAAGUUCUUUAAGAUUUUAUGGGUCUGAGGGGCUUUUUUUGAGGUAUCAUCUCUCAAGUUCUACUCAGCUUGUUGAAGAUUUUCCCUUUGAUUGUGGUCACCUAUGCAGAUAUCAUUUUGCGUGUUGGAUUUAUUUUACUAUAUUUUUGAUGUUGUAUCCGGUCUAAUUUCUUAUGAAAAUGGUAGAUAAUGGCGGAGCUUCUUUUAAGACCUAUUUUCUGAUUUUCCAAUUCUUUCUUUUCUUUUUGUUUUUAUGAAUAGAUCAAUAUGAUAUUUACAUUUUUUUCUCUUGGUGGUUUCGCAAGCUUUUAAGCGUGUAUGUUAGUACAAAUUCCAUGGUUUUGCUAGAUUUACUGUUCAUACUUACUAGGAUUACAUUUUCUUAUUAUGAUAGGUUUAUUUAAUGGGGACAACAG
Molecule: unclassified non-coding RNA, 591 nt
Filed under: Hevea brasiliensis (rubber tree)
Lineage: Eukaryota; Viridiplantae; Streptophyta; Magnoliopsida; Malpighiales; Euphorbiaceae
Source: RNAcentral